GACGAAGUAGCACAAUGGUAGUGCACCAGAUUGUGGAUCUGGUGGUUGCGGGUUCGAGCCCCGUCUUCGUCC
Molecule: transfer RNA, 72 nt
Filed under: Candidatus Rifleibacteriota bacterium
Lineage: Bacteria; Candidatus Rifleibacteriota
Also listed under: 1 other name
Description: tRNA-His
Rfam family: tRNA
About the family: Transfer RNA (tRNA) molecules are approximately 80 nucleotides in length.
Source: RNAcentral